RNAcentral lists this ribosomal RNA (449 nucleotides) under uncultured bacterium. Its description in RNAcentral is "partial 16S ribosomal RNA". It matches the Rfam family "Bacterial small subunit ribosomal RNA", at positions 29 to 523 of the family's 1533-position model. The record is from RNAcentral.
AGCGAACGCUAGCGGCAGGCCUAACACAUGCAAGUCGAACGGACCCUUCGGGGUUAGUGGCGGACGGGUGAGUAACACGUGGGAACGUGCCUUUAGGUUCGGAAUAGCUCCUGGAAACGGGUGGUAAUGCCGAAUGUGCCCUUCGGGGGAAAGAUUUAUCGCCUUUAGAGCGGCCCGCGUCUGAUUAGCUAGUUGGUGAGGUAAUGGCUCACCAAGGCGACGAUCAGUAGCUGGACUGAGAGGAUGACCAGCCACACUGGGACUGAGACACGGCCCAGACUCCUACGGGAGGCAGCAGUGGGGAAUCUUGCGCAAUGGGCGAAAGCCUGACGCAGCCAUGCCGCGUGAAUGAUGAAGGUCUUAGGAUUGUAAAAUUCUUUCACCGGGGACGAUAAUGACGGUACCCGGAGAAGAAGCCCCGGCUAACUUCGUGCCAGCAGCCGCCGUAA